RNAcentral lists this ribosomal RNA (449 nucleotides) under uncultured bacterium. RNAcentral's name for it is "partial 16S ribosomal RNA". It matches the Rfam family "Bacterial small subunit ribosomal RNA", at positions 29 to 523 of the family's 1533-position model. The record is from RNAcentral.
AACGAACGCUGGCGGCAGGCCUAACACAUGCAAGUCGAACGGGAUCUUCGGAUCUAGUGGCGGACGGGUGAGUAACGCGUGGGAACGUACCCUUUGGUUCGGAAUAGCCCUGGGAAACUGGGAGUAAUACCGGAUACGGUCGAGAGACGAAAGAUUUAUCGCCGAAGGAUCGGCCCGCGUUGGAUUAGGUAGUUGGUGGGGUAAUGGCCUACCAAGCCGACGAUCCAUAGCUGGUUGGAGAGGAUGAUCAGCCACACUGGGACUGAGACACGGCCCAGACUCCUACGGGAGGCAGCAGUGGGGAAUCUUAGACAAUGGGGGAAACCCUGAUCUAGCCAUGCCGCGUGAGCGAUGAAGGCCUUAGGGUUGUAAAGCUCUUUCAGUGGGGAAGAUAAUGACGGUACCCACAGAAGAAGCCCCGGCUAACUCCGUGCCAGCCGCCGCCGUAA